GACGAACGCUGGCGGCGUGCUUAACACAUGCAAGUCGAACGGAAAGGCCCUGCUUUUGUGGGGUGCUCGAGUGGCGAACGGGUGAGUAACACGUGAGUAACCUGCCCUUGACUUUGGGAUAACUUCAGGAAACUGGGGCUAAUACCGGAUAGGAGCUCCUGCUGCAUGGUGGGGGUUGGAAAGUUUCGGCGGUCGGGGAUGGACUCGCGGCUUAUCAGCUUGUUGGUGGGGUAGUGGCUUACCAAGGCUUUGACGGGUAGCCGGCCUGAGAGGGUGACCGGCCACAUUGGGACUGAGAGACGGCCCAGACUCCUACGGGAGGCAGCAGUGGGGAAUAUUGCACAAUGGGCGGAAGCCUGAUGCAGCAACGCCGCGUGUGGGAUGACGGCCUUCGGGUUGUAAACCGCUUUCGCCUGUGACGAAGCGUGAGUGACGGUAAUGGGUAAAGAAGCACCGGCUAACUACGUG
This 468-nucleotide ribosomal RNA is filed under the name uncultured bacterium. RNAcentral describes it as "partial 16S ribosomal RNA". It matches the Rfam family "Bacterial small subunit ribosomal RNA", at positions 28 to 507 of the family's 1533-position model. The record is from RNAcentral.